AUUGAGGGUCGGAACAGACAUUCGGCCCGACUAUGAGUCGGGCCGACCAUAACAAUCAGGCCACCUGACAUAGUCGGGCCGACCAUAACAAUCAGGCCACUUGAGGGAUGCUGACAUGGACUUGCUAGGUCACAAUGGGCUUAAGUCUCCAUACAUCACCGAUCCAUUCCAAAUUACUCCUAACAGAUACCCUUUAUUCCCUAGUCCGAGCUCUGGUCGGGCUAUGGGAGUAUUUAUUCUGAUAUUCUGAAUGGCCAG
RNAcentral lists this long non-coding RNA (258 nucleotides) under Elaeis guineensis (African oil palm). Its description in RNAcentral is "long non-coding RNA (EGUI_LNC036730)". The record is from RNAcentral. Lineage: Eukaryota; Viridiplantae; Streptophyta; Magnoliopsida; Arecales; Arecaceae.